Long non-coding RNA from Bubalus bubalis (water buffalo), 509 nucleotides. RefSeq lists it as uncharacterized. Lineage: Eukaryota; Metazoa; Chordata; Mammalia; Artiodactyla; Bovidae. The transcript is spliced from 2 exons. The record is from RefSeq and is a predicted model, not a curated record.
AUAUUUUCUGGUUGGAUUCCUGAGAGCUGGCAACAUCAAACAGGUUUAUUUAGCCAUGUGAUGCAUAGAACUGCAGGAAGCAAGCAAAGGCUGUUAGCAGAAGCCAGGAGGAAAUCUUUAAAAGCAGAUGAGCCAUGUCACACACGCUAAGGACAUAAAGCAACUGCAUUUUGCACCCUCCAUAGAGAUAUUGAUGGAUUUGCUGGCAAUUUUGUGACUUAAUCCCAUGGACGGAGGGGCCUGGAAGGCUGCAGUCCAUGGGGUCAUGAAGAGUCGGACAUGACUGAGCGACUUCACUUUCACUUUGUGACUUGAAGACAGUUCUGAGGAAUAAAUCCUAUUAAACUUUUUGGAAGUUUAUGUUUUUAACUUUUUGGAAUUCAGAGAAGAAGGAAAUUUACACUUUUGUUUUUUAAAAAAAGUAUGGAUAUGCAUAAAAACACCAAAGUAUUUAUGAGUGAAAUGAAUGACAGAUGGGAUUUCCUCUAAGGUAGAAAAAAGUAGACAAA